AUUGAACGCUGGCGGCAGGCCUAACACAUGCAAGUCGAACGAGUGGCGGACGGGUGAGUAAUGUCUGGGAAACUGCGUGAUGGAGGGGGAUAACUACGGGAAACGGUAGCUAAUACCGCAUACCAUCAGAUGUGCCGAGAUGGGAGUAGCUAGUUGGUGGGGUAACGGCGCACCAAGGCGACGAUCCCUAGCGUGUCUGAGAGGAUGACCGGCCACACUGGAACUGAGCCACGGUCCAGACGCCUACGGGAGGCAGCAGUGGGGAAUAUUGCACAAUGGGCGAAAGCCUGAUGCAGCAAUGCCGCGUGUAUGAAGAAGGCUUUCGGGUUGUAAAGUACUUUCAGUGGGGAGGCGGUAUCCGCAGAAGAAGCACCGGCUAACUCCGUGCCAGCAGCCGCGGUAAUAC
RNAcentral lists this ribosomal RNA (406 nucleotides) under uncultured bacterium. RNAcentral's name for it is "partial 16S ribosomal RNA". It matches the Rfam family "Bacterial small subunit ribosomal RNA", at positions 29 to 526 of the family's 1533-position model. The record is from RNAcentral.